AUUGAACGCUGGCGGCAUGCCUUACACAUGCAAGUCGAACGGGAACAGGGAGCUUGCUCCGCUGACGAGUGGCGAACGGGUGAGUAAUGUAUCGGAACGUACCUUUUAGUGGGGGAUAACGUAGCGAAAGUUACGCUAAUACCGCAUAUUCUCUGAGGAGGAAAGCAGGGGACCUUCGGGCCUUGCGCUAAUAGAGCGGCUGAUAUCAGAUUAGCUAGUUGGUGAGGUAAAGGCUCACCAAGGCGACGAUCUGUAGCGGGUCUGAGAGGAUGAUCCGCCACACUGGAACUGAGACACGGUCCAGACUCCUACGGGAGGCAGCAGUGGGGAAUUUUGGACAAUGGGGGCAACCCUGAUCCAGCCAUGCCGCGUGAGUGAAGAAGGCCUUCGGGUUGUAAAGCUCUUUCGGCCGGGAAAAAAUCGCAUGGGUUAAUACCCUGUGUGGAUGAUGGUACCGGAAUAAGAAGCACCGGCUAACUACGUGCCAGCAGCCGCGGUAA
RNAcentral lists this ribosomal RNA (500 nucleotides) under uncultured bacterium. RNAcentral's name for it is "partial 16S ribosomal RNA". It matches the Rfam family "Bacterial small subunit ribosomal RNA", at positions 30 to 523 of the family's 1533-position model. The record is from RNAcentral.